This is a long non-coding RNA of Homo sapiens (human), 959 nucleotides long. RefSeq lists it as uncharacterized. The transcript has 3 exons. NCBI's taxonomy places the organism in Eukaryota, Metazoa, Chordata, Mammalia, Primates, Hominidae. The record is from RefSeq and is a predicted model, not a curated record.
GCUGGGGUUCGCUUGUGCUUUUUUGCCAAGGCACAAAGGACUGGGUCCUCCAAGAGCACCGGGGAGUUCGGGUCCACCCUGGAAGGAAAGGCAGAAAGGCUGAGGCCCUGAGGCUGGGGAUACAGUUUGUUAGGCGGCUCCCUAAACAGACUAAGGCGUCCACUCUGCACCGGAGCUUCUCAAGCGAGGCCCCCGAACAGCAGCCUCAACAUCACCUGGGAUCUCGUCAGAAAUGCAAAUUCUUCCCUCACCCCAAGUCAGCUAAAAUAGAAAUGCUAUUUCUGAGCACAAGCAACUCCAUGAACCCUAUCCUGGUUUCUCAAUAACUCCGACCACUAGAACGAGACACGGCCAAUUUCAGAGCUGGGAUGAGAAACCUUCAACAACUGGGAAAAACAAGUUAACUGAUAUCAAAAUACAACAAUAUAAAAACAAUUGAAUUCUGGUUAAAAAAAGAAGAGCUACAAAAGAUAUUUUGAUUAAGCAAGGAAAAAUUCAAAUAUGGACUGGAUACCAAAUGACAUGAGGGCACUAUAGAUGAUGUUCUUAGAUACAGUAAUGACACUGGAACUGGGAGAAUAUCUUCAUUCCUGUGACAUGCUUUGAGAGGUCUCUAGGGGUCAAUUGUCAUCUUUACAAUUUACCUUGAAGAGGUUCUAGAAACAUUAUAUGUAUUUAUGCAGAUAUACUCCAUAUAACAUUGCAAAAUGUUAGUAAUUUUGAAUAUAAAUGGUAACAUGGGUCUCCAGUAUUAUUUUUAUCAAAUUUUUGGAAAGUGUGAAAAUGGCCAUAUUAAAAAAUUGGGGAACUACUAGUAUUAAAACCACAUUAAUUUCUCAAUGCUUUUAUUAAAUUAUCACAGCACCGUAUCAUUAUACCAAAUUCACUAAUUUUAUACAUAUGUAUUUCCACUGUAGAUCUUCACUGAUUGACUCUAAGUUUUAAAACAUAAAAUAAAA